Molecule: long non-coding RNA, 410 nt
Filed under: Bos taurus (domestic cattle)
Lineage: Eukaryota; Metazoa; Chordata; Mammalia; Artiodactyla; Bovidae
Description: long non-coding RNA NONBTAT000507
Source: RNAcentral
GGAAAAACCAAAUUAGAAACUAAAAAAAAAAAAAAGAGGACAUUGUAUUGCUUCAUUUGAAAGCAUACAAGCAUACUGUUCUCAACUCAGCUCAAUUUACAGAUAGCCUGACAACCUUUUUAUAACCUGUCUUUUGUGCUAUAAUUUGCAUUCAUGGCUGCAUCUUUAAAAUAAUUGCAAUUUCAAUUAAGUGAACAGAGGAAAAGCAAAGAGGGAAAACAGGACCAUGUGAUGGGACUAAAUUUGAUACAGUUCUGGAUUCCUGCAGCCAGUUCUUAGAGUUAGCAAGGAAAGUCAGCACCGUUACCCUUUGCCAUUCUCGCCCAUUCUCACUAUUAUCAGCCUAAGAAUUAACCUCAUUUCUUUGUGAUUUAAGACUUCUCUUAAUACUAUCAAACCCAUAUAAGAGA